Molecule: long non-coding RNA, 1604 nt
Filed under: Sus scrofa (pig)
Lineage: Eukaryota; Metazoa; Chordata; Mammalia; Artiodactyla; Suidae
Description: lncRNA (ENSSSCG00060025063.1)
Source: RNAcentral
GGUUCAUUUUUACUUGGUUUCUCCAAAUUCCCUUUAUAUGUCCGACUAUUUCAAAGCGCGUCGUUGGAGGAGAAGCUGAGGAACCUGGGCUUGAGUUUUCCUGUCCACUGCUCCAGAGGGAGUGUUAGGAAGUUAAGGGAAUGUGACAUCUCUUUAAAGUGAAAAGCAAAAGCAGAAAUUAUAUGGAAGGAGAGAGGCAAGAGGAGACAGGUUUCCAGAAACUUUUGCUGGCGGUAAUUCUAGUGAAUAUGGGUGAAACCAGGGGGCACUGUGUUUCGCCCUUGACUCCUGUGGAAUCUGAACCCGGCCUAGUUUGCAGCACUCGUGGCUGCGUAAAACGUUGAGCGAGUUGCUUGGCCUCUUUGUUCUUUUGUGUCCACAUACUUAAAAUGGGGAUGGAUAAUACCAAUCUUAAAAGAGUUGGUAGUGAGUUUCAAAUGAGUUACUACUCUUCACGUGCUUAGAACGAAUCCUUGCAUAUAUGAGUUUUUGUUAUUAUUACCUACCUGUGCCUUCUUUCCCCUUAAAGAUUCCACACUAAAAGAAUUCUGACCUUAUUACUUAUCCUUUGCUCAGAAUUCUGCCAGCCUAUUGCCCAUGAACCUGUAGGCCUGUGUUUUCCAUCCAUGUCAUUAAUGAUCUGAGGGUAUGGUAUAAUUACCUGUGACUGGAGGCUUUCUACUGGGUGUUUAUCAUUAAAUAAGAUCGGAAACUACCGCUGUAUGAUACUAGGUCUGCCCUUGAUAGCUGUGCUGAGUAAAUGAAACAUCUUUGUUUAGUUUUUCACUGAAUACUGUUUCAUGUAUAGUCUUAACCUAGGCACUUUUUUUUUUUUUUUGACCCAAUACCAAAAAGGCCAUGAUUGCAGCAUUCUUGGUUUCUCAUGUUUCCGGGAUGGCCCUGGGACUCAGGCGGGGAAUUUCUGGGCAGCCUGGCAGCACUUCUUGUUAAUGAAUGAGGAAGCUUGGCGCGAAUCUCAUCUUACGCUACUGUUAGGAAAUCAGCGGUGAUCCCUUGGAAUACUCCACAGAGCUCCUAAGCAGCUUUGCUUCAGUUUUGACUCAGUGAAAUGAAGGUUAGAGGUUGGGGACUGGUAUCUACAGAGUAGAUUCUUUUCCGUUUGAUCUUUUUUUUUUUUUUUUUUUAAUAUUAUGGCUGCGCCCUCAGCAUAUGGAAGUUCUCGGGCCAGGAAUUGAAUCCAAGCUGCAGAUGUGGCAGCGCCAGCUCCUUUAACCCAUUGCACUGGGCCAGGGAUCAAACCUGUGCCUCUGUAGUGAUCUGAGCUGCUGCAGUCAGAUUCUUCAUCCACUGUGCCACAGUGGGAACUCCUCUAAUUGGCUUUUUAGUGCUGAGAGCUUGGGUGGGUGCUGUGGAAUCAAAGACAUCUUUAUUCCCCCCGCCCUUAGCCUGUACACAAAUAGAAAUGUCUGCUGGCAGACUUAAGUGCUUUCUGUGAGCUUCAGGUUUGCUUGGUGCUCUCUGGAAGGCUCUACUUCAAUCCCUGGCCCAGCACAGUGGGUUACAGACACUGGCGUUGCCACAGCUGUGGUGUAGGUCACAACUAUGCCUUGGAUCUGAUCCCUGGCCUGGGAAGUCCAUAUGCC